GCGCCCGUAGCUCAGCUGGAUAGAGCAUCCGCCUUCUAAGCGGACGGUCACAGGUUCGAAUCCUGUCGGGCGCGCCA
RNAcentral lists this transfer RNA (77 nucleotides) under Gammaproteobacteria bacterium. RNAcentral's name for it is "tRNA-Arg". It matches the Rfam family "tRNA". Rfam says of the family: Transfer RNA (tRNA) molecules are approximately 80 nucleotides in length. RNAcentral also lists the same sequence under 2 other names. The record is from RNAcentral. Lineage: Bacteria; Pseudomonadati; Pseudomonadota; Gammaproteobacteria.